This 253-nucleotide ribosomal RNA is filed under the name uncultured bacterium. RNAcentral's name for it is "partial 16S ribosomal RNA". It matches the Rfam family "Bacterial small subunit ribosomal RNA", at positions 524 to 776 of the family's 1533-position model. The record is from RNAcentral.
UAGGGAGGGGGCUAGCGUUGUUCGGAAUUACUGGGCGUAAAGCGCACGUAGGCGGACUGGAAAGUCAGGGGUGAAAUCCCGAGGCUCAACCCCGGAACUGCCUUUGAAACUCCCAGUCUUGAGGUCGAGAGAGGUGAGUGGAAUUCCGAGUGUAGAGGUGAAAUUCGUAGAUAUUAGGAGGAACACCAGUGGCGAAGGCGGCUCACUGGCCCGGUACUGACGCUGAGGCGCGAAAGCGUGGGGAGCAAACAGG